AUACUUACCUGGCAGGGGAGAUACCAUGAUCAUGAAGGUGGUUCACCCAGGGUGAGGCUCAGCCAUUGCACUCCGGUUGUGCUGACCCUGCGAAUUCCCCAAAUGUGGGAAUCUCGACUGCAUAAUUUCUGGUAGUGGGGGACUGCGUUCGCGCUCUCCCCUG
RNAcentral lists this small nuclear RNA (163 nucleotides) under Oryzias javanicus (javanese ricefish). RNAcentral's name for it is "U1 spliceosomal RNA (ENSOJAG00000008566.1)". It matches the Rfam family "U1 spliceosomal RNA". Rfam says of the family: U1 is a small nuclear RNA (snRNA) component of the spliceosome (involved in pre-mRNA splicing). Its 5' end forms complementary base pairs with the 5' splice junction, thus defining the 5' donor site of an intron. Lineage: Eukaryota; Metazoa; Chordata; Actinopteri; Beloniformes; Adrianichthyidae. The record is from Rfam by way of RNAcentral.